This 493-nucleotide ribosomal RNA is filed under the name Carbula aliena. RNAcentral describes it as "partial large subunit ribosomal RNA". It matches the Rfam family "Archaeal large subunit ribosomal RNA", at positions 1954 to 2674 of the family's 2987-position model. Lineage: Eukaryota; Metazoa; Arthropoda; Insecta; Hemiptera; Pentatomidae. The record is from RNAcentral.
CUCAGUGAUUAAUAGAAUUAAUUAAAUAGCCGCAGUAUUUUGACUGUGCGAAGGUAGCAUAAUCAUUUGUCUUUUAAUUGAAGGCUUGUAUGAAUGGUUGGAUGAGGGGAUAACUUUCUUUAUAUUAAUAGUUGAAUUUAAUUUUUAGGUUAAAAAGCUUAAAUUUAUAAAUGGGACGAGAAGACCCUGUAGAAUUUUAUUUUAAUUAGGAUAUUAUUAUUUUAGUUGUUAAAUAUUAUUAUUAUGAUUAAAAUUUUGUUGGGGUGACAGUAAGAUUUCAUGAACUCUUAUAAUUAUAUCUAAUGUAUAUUAGCAUAUUAAGGAUCCUAUAUUAAGGAUAUUUAGAUUAAAUUACCUCAGGGAUAACAGCGUAAUUUCUUUGGAGAGUUCUUAUCGAUGAAGAAGUUUGCGACCUCGAUGUUGGAUUAAAAUUAAAUUUAAGUGCAGAAGCUUAAUGUUUAGGUCUGUUCGACCUUUGAAAUUUUACAUGAUC